Molecule: unclassified non-coding RNA, 350 nt
Filed under: uncultured Conocybe
Lineage: Eukaryota; Fungi; Basidiomycota; Agaricomycetes; Agaricales; Bolbitiaceae
Description: sequence contains ITS1
Rfam family: 5.8S ribosomal RNA (bases 1-105)
Source: RNAcentral
GAAAUGCGAUAAGUAAUGUGAAUUGCAGAAUUCAGUGAAUCAUCGAAUCUUUGAACGCAACUUGCGCUCCUUGGUAUUCCGAGGAGCAUGCCUGUUUGAGUGUCAUUUAAUUCUCAAUCUCUACAAACUUGUGUUGUCAGCAGAUUGGAGGUGGGGGCCAUUCUGUGGGUUUAUUUAUUAGAUCCACUCCCCUGAAAAUCAUUAGCUGGAAUGCCUUUGCAAAGCCAACUAUCAGUAUGAUAAUUAUCUACUCUGAUGUGGUUGUAAAGGGAAUCUGCUUUCAAACUGUCGUUUCAGACACUAUGAAUCCAUUUGACCUCAAAUCAGGUAGGACUACCCGCUGAACUUAA